GUCCACGCCGUAAACGAUGGGUGCUAGGUGUGGGCGGUGUCGACUCCGCCCAUGCCGAAGCUAACGCAUUAAGCACCCCGCCUGGGGAGUACGGCCGCAAGGCUAAAACUCAAAGGAAUUGACGGGGGCCCGCACAAGCAGCGGAGCAUGUGGUUUAAUUCGACGCAACGCGAAGAACCUUACCAGGGCUUGACAUGCACGGGAAUGUCGUAGAAAUACGGCAGCCCUUCGGGGCUCGUGCACAGGUGGUGCAUGGCUGUCGU
This 263-nucleotide ribosomal RNA is filed under the name uncultured bacterium. Its description in RNAcentral is "partial 16S ribosomal RNA". It matches the Rfam family "Bacterial small subunit ribosomal RNA", at positions 793 to 1055 of the family's 1533-position model. The record is from RNAcentral.